Molecule: ribosomal RNA, 482 nt
Filed under: uncultured bacterium
Lineage: Bacteria
Description: partial 16S ribosomal RNA
Rfam family: Bacterial small subunit ribosomal RNA
Source: RNAcentral
AUUGAACGCUGGCGGCAUGCCUUACACAUGCAAGUCGAACGGUAACGGGCCUUCGGGUGCCGACGAGUGGCGAACGGGUGAGUAAUACAUCGGAACGUGCCCGAUCGUGGGGGAUAACGAGGCGAAAGCUUUGCUAAUACCGCAUACGAUCUACGGAUGAAAGCAGGGGACCGCAAGGCCUUGCGCGGACGGAGCGGCCGAUGGCAGAUUAGGUAGUUGGUGGGAUAAAAGCUUACCAAGCCGACGAUCCGUAGCUGGUCUGAGAGGAUGAUCAGCCACACUGGGACUGAGACACGGCCCAGACUCCUACGGGAGGCAGCAGUGGGGAAUUUUGGACAAUGGGCGCAAGCCUGAUCCAGCCAUGCCGCGUGCAGGAUGAAGGCCUUCGGGUUGUAAACUGCUUUUGUACGGAACGAAAAGCCUUCUUUUAAUGCAGGAGGGUCAUGACGGUACCGUAAGAAUAAGCACCGGCUAACUACGUG